CCUUAGUUCGAGAGGGACCUAGAGAGAAAACAGAGUGAAAUCAAGAGGAAAAUAGGGAGAAUCGAGUGAAAGUUGGGGAGAUGGAGUGAAAUCUCUUUGAUACCUGGCUUCCUGAAGAUGUUUUGCUACCAUUGAAGGAAGAAGAAGACGAAUCGAAGACGAAGCUUUGUUUCUUCUCCAUCUCAGUCGUGAAAUAAGCUUAAAUUGAGGUCAUGGUAAUUCAAAACAGACUUUCUGGACACUCGACUCAGACAAGACUCAAGCGUUCAAUACUGCACUGUAUUCAAUCAUGUCCUGAAGCGCCUUAGAGUGACAAUAACGGGUCUUAGAAAUCAACGUGUACUAGUAUUUAUAACCUUGUACAAGGUCCGUGUAUGCAGAAUUAUACUCUGGUCCUUUAUUUUUCCUUAUCAAUGGAAGAUAACUAGUGAUUUUUCCACCCGCUUACCGCCUCAGCAAAUGUUCUAACCGAGGAGCCAGCUUCAGCCAAUGUACUAGUCGCAGAACAUUUUAGUUCUUCCAUCUUACUCCUAAGUCUCUUUCCUUCUUCACCUUCCAUAAGUUCCUUCACAACCUUACAAAUCUCAUCAUGUCCUAUAAUACCAUUCUUCAUUUUUUUCAGCCUUAUAGCUACUUUCAUGUCAUCUGUAAGCAUCGCUGCAUUCAAAGUCUUCUCUGCAAAAAGUGGGAAUGCAAUUAACGGGACACCAUGCACGAUGCUUUCAAGGGUUGAAUUCCACCCACAAUGGGUUAAAAACCCACCAGUUGAUCCAUGUUUGAGGAUUUGAAUUUGUGGUACCCAUGAUGAAACAACUAAACCUGAAUUUUGGGUUCUGUCCAAAAAUCCUUUAGGUAACACUCCAGAAGGAUCCACAGUAUUUUGAGCACUCAAAUAAGAUGCAUUUGCAGCCUUUCCACUAGGAGUAGGACUUUUGAAAAACCACAGAAACUUUUGUUCACUCAUUUCCAACCCUAAAGCCAAUUCAGUUAGUUGCUCACCUGAGAGGGUUCCGCCGCUACCAAACCACACGAACAGAACAGAACCUGGUGAUUGAUUAUCCAACCACUUCAGACAACCUGACUCAUCCGAUCCAUCAUCGCGCACACCCGUUGUUCAAUCUCCUCAAAAGCUAUUCAUGAAGAUGCCUUUGCCCAAACCCAACUUCUUCCAAUAAUGUAUCACUCUUGCAUAAGUCUCUGUUUUCCGAUCUUGUAAUGACUUCGUAAGAUCGAUUCCCCAGAUCGGUACACAACCCGGUAUCCGAAUCAUUUCAGGUACAACUCUGAACUCACAAGAGUAAGUUUUGUCCAGUUUGGGUAAAUGGUAACACAUACAUAGCAGCAUAGCAGUUGAUGUUGAAAAAAUGUAAGCAUCGAUAUCAAAUGCGUUAGCAAUAGCAGUUGACUCCGUAGAGAAAAGAUCAGAAACGAAAGAGACGACUCUGUGAGUUGAAGUGAUUUUUCGGGUUGAGUCAGCAAGCGCAGGCAGAGACCGUGUCACAAUUGCGCUCAUCUGAGCCUCGAUCUCAGAACCACUAGGAAGAUCACUUAUAUCCACUGGAGGUAAGAAGACGGUGUUGAUAGAAUUUGGUGAAGAAGUCAGUUGCAGAGCUUGUUUUACUGCUUUGGCUGGAGAAUUAGUUUGAUUUGCAAUGAUGAGUGUUGCCGAAAAGCCAUGAUCCAGAACGAGGCGUUUAGCGAAUUCAGAGACUGGUAUGCGAUGACCCAUACCUGGACUGGGCAUAAUAAUAACAUGAGCAGUGCUGUCUCGCACCGUGGUGCGUGUUGCUAUCCCGCUCAAGCGGCCUUUUUACCGUUAAAUCAUCAAAUCAAUGGUUGGAUUCUUUCAAGAACGGACCCAUCAUGGCUGGUUUUAUGUUCCAUGGCUGGAAAGCUGAACAAGAAAGAAUUUGAUAAAGAAGAAGCUAUAGUAAUAAGUAAAUCUGAUAAAUGUUGCAGGAAGAAGCUAGAGAAUUCAGUGACUGUAAAUGAGAGGAAGAUGAAAGUUUUGCUAUGUAAAGAAGGGUUUGGUGUGAGAUAUUGAAUGCAUCUUGAAAUUAGAAGGUUUUGUUAGUAGUGUUUAAGUGAUACGUCAUUGUUCAAUUUUUCGGUCUUUUUUAGGGAAAAGGUAGAACACUCAAGAGGGCCAUUGCCCC
Molecule: long non-coding RNA, 2156 nt
Organism: Papaver somniferum (opium poppy)
Lineage: Eukaryota; Viridiplantae; Streptophyta; Magnoliopsida; Ranunculales; Papaveraceae
Exons: 2
Source: RefSeq, a predicted model, not a curated record